Molecule: long non-coding RNA, 351 nt
Organism: Brassica oleracea var. oleracea
Lineage: Eukaryota; Viridiplantae; Streptophyta; Magnoliopsida; Brassicales; Brassicaceae
Exons: 2
Source: RefSeq, a predicted model, not a curated record
UCUCCUUGUUGAAAGUAUAAAUCGUGAAACGGAAAGUCUUUGCAGGAGCUGUAGGACAAUGGAUCUUGCAGGUAAACAACAGCCUCUAAGGCCAUAAUUAGCUACAAAAUUAGUUGAAAGUAUACUAAAAAAAAUAUGAAAAGGGUCCGAGAGAGAGAGAAAAGAAAGACAGAAAGUGAUUGUCUCUCUCUUUUUGCUUCGAGAGGAAGACAAGUCAAAAGCAAAACUGAAGAACAAAAAGGAAAGAGAAAAGAAACAAGAAGGUCAAACAAGAUCGUGGUUUAGAUGGAUGGAAGAGAGGAGAAGCUUGUGAGGGUAUAAGGCUGAUAUAUAUUCGUAGUAACAGAAUAA